RNAcentral lists this ribosomal RNA (432 nucleotides) under Carapoia sp. Br16-73. RNAcentral's name for it is "partial 16S ribosomal RNA". The record is from RNAcentral. Lineage: Eukaryota; Metazoa; Arthropoda; Arachnida; Araneae; Pholcidae.
UUCUUUAAGUAAUUAAUUUAAAGUAAAACCUGCUCAAUGUUAUACAUAAAUAGCCGCAGUUUCUGUGCUAAGGUAGCAUAAUAAUUAGCUCUUUAAUUAAGAGAUAGAAUGAAUGGUCAUAUGAAAUACAAAAUGUUUCUAAAAUCAUUAAAUAAUUUAAAAAAAAAGUAAAAAUUCUUUUACUAUUAAGAAAGACGAUAAGACCCUAGUUAAACUUAAAAUUUAGCUGGGGCGGCAAUUAAAACAAACCUUAAUUAAAACUACUACCCAAAACCCAAUAAAAUUGUAUUAUAAAGUUACUAUAGGGAUAACAGCGCAAUCUUUUUCAAAAGAUCUCAUCCAAAAAAAGACUUACGACCUCGAUGUUGAAUUAAUUACCUCAAAAUAGACGCAAAAGUCUUUAAAGUUAGUCUGUUCGACUAUUAAAAAAUU